UGUUUCCCGGAUAUUCACACUUAAAAACUGUACAUGAUGAUGCCUACCUUCCUCCUCAGUCUUUUAUAGUGUCCGAUAGGCCUAGAGAAUCACAAAAGGCUACAAGUCACAUCAUGGGUCCCAUCUUUCUUAUGAUAUUCACAGUAACAGCAGGUGUACUGGCCAUCUCAGAGGAAAUAGCUGUCUACCCCGCCAUGCUUUUUGGAUCAAAGGCUCAAGUUAGAAAGGGAGACACUAUAGAUUUGAAGUGUAAUAUCUCUGGCAUCAUAAGAUUCUGGGACAAGGUUCAUGUGUACAUUUACAAGAAUGGAGUUGAGAUGGCAAUGAAGGUUUUGGAGAAAGGUGAAGAUGACGCUAUUUUCACCAUGAAGGAUGUUACAAGAGAAGACUCAGGCAACUACAGCUGUGUGUACACCAGAGAUAAACUUUUACUGGAUCAAGUGAAGUCAGCAGGCAAGAAUUUAGUAGCCAUCUGUGUCUACGAAGAGGCUGCACAUGAUGUAAUACUGGUCAAUGUAAUCCGACUGAUAAGUUCAGCUGUUGUGGUCAUACUUCUGCUGACUGUAGUGGCUGUUAGUUCAUGCUGUUCAAAAAGAGGUAAUUAUGAUGAUUGAUGUCUCUUUUCAUAUAGUAGUGACCUAUUGACAGAUACACUU
RNAcentral lists this long non-coding RNA (656 nucleotides) under Salmo trutta (river trout). RNAcentral's name for it is "lncRNA (ENSSTUG00000040450.1)". Lineage: Eukaryota; Metazoa; Chordata; Actinopteri; Salmoniformes; Salmonidae. The record is from RNAcentral.